RNAcentral lists this ribosomal RNA (433 nucleotides) under uncultured bacterium. RNAcentral's name for it is "partial 16S ribosomal RNA". It matches the Rfam family "Bacterial small subunit ribosomal RNA", at positions 29 to 507 of the family's 1533-position model. The record is from RNAcentral.
AACGAACGCUGGCGGCAUGCCUAACACAUGCAAGUCGAACGAGACCUUCGGGUCUAGUGGCGCACGGGUGCGUAACGCGUGGGAACCUGCCCUUAGGUUCGGAAUAACUCCCCGAAAGGGGUGCUAAUACCGGAUAAUGUCUUCGGACCAAAGAUUUAUCGCCUUUGGAUGGGCCCGCGUUGGAUUAGCUAGUUGGUAGGGUAAAAGCCUACCAAGGCGACGAUCCAUAGCUGGUCUGAGAGGAUGAUCAGCCACACUGGGACUGAGACACGGCCCAGACUCCUACGGGAGGCAGCAGUGGGGAAUAUUGGACAAUGGGCCAAAGCCUGAUCCAGCAAUGCCGCGGGAGUGAUGAAGGCCUUAGGGUUGUAAAGCUCUUUUACCCGGGAUGAUAAUGACAGUACCGGGAGAAUAAGCACCGGCUAACUCCGUG